AGGGCACCACCAGGAGUGGAGCCUGCGGCUUAAUUUGACUCAACACGGGAAAACUCACCCGGCCCGGACACUGGAAGGAUUGACAGAUUGAGAGCUCUUUCUUGAUUCAGUGGGUGGUGGUGCAUGGCCGUUCUUAGUUGGUGGAGCGAUUUGUCUGGUUAAUUCCGAUAACGAACGAGAUUCUAGCCUACUAAAUAGAUCGUCGGCUUACAAACGCUGAUGAGACUUCUUAGAGGGACAGGCGGCGAUUCAGCCGCACGAAACAGAGCAAUAACAGGUCUGUGAUGCCCUUAGAUGUCCGGGGCCGCACGCGCGCUACACUGAAGUGAUCAGCGUGCAUUUUCAGCCUACUCUGCCAAGAGUGGGAAACCCAAUGAACCUUCUUCGUGAUUGGGAUAGGAGAUUGUAAUUAUUCUCCUUGAACGAGGAAUUCCCAGUAAGCGCGAGUCAUAAGCUCGCGUUGAUUACGUCCCUGCCCUUUGUACACACCGCCCGUCGCUACUACCGAUUGAAUGUUUU
RNAcentral lists this ribosomal RNA (519 nucleotides) under uncultured eukaryote. RNAcentral's name for it is "SSU rRNA". It matches the Rfam family "Eukaryotic small subunit ribosomal RNA", at positions 1161 to 1699 of the family's 1831-position model. The record is from RNAcentral.